CCUACGGGGGGCAGCAGUGAGGAAUAUUGGUCAAUGGACGAGAGUCUGAACCAGCCAAGUAGCGUGAAGGAUGACUGCCCUAUGGGUUGUAAACUUCUUUUAUAUGGGAAUAAAACGUUCCACGUGUGGGAUUUUGUAUGUACCAUAUGAAUAAGGAUCGGCUAACUCCGUGCCAGCAGCCGCGGUAAUAGGGAGGAUCCGAGCGUUAUCCGGAUUUAUUGGGUUUAAAGGGAGCGUAGGUGGAUUGUUAAGUCAGUUGUGAAAGUUUGCGGCUCAACCGUAAAAUUGCAGUUGAAACUGGCAGUCUUGAGUACAGUAGAGGUGGGCGGAAUUCGUGGUGUAGCGGUGAAAUGCUUAGAUAUCACGAAGAACUCCGAUUGCGAAGGCAGUUCACUGGACUGCAACUGACACUGAGGCUCGAAAGUGUGGGUAUCAAACAGGAUUAGAUACCCGAGUAGUC
RNAcentral lists this ribosomal RNA (460 nucleotides) under uncultured bacterium. RNAcentral's name for it is "partial 16S ribosomal RNA". It matches the Rfam family "Bacterial small subunit ribosomal RNA", at positions 338 to 795 of the family's 1533-position model. The record is from RNAcentral.